Podarcis muralis (Common wall lizard) is the source of this 1645-nucleotide non-coding RNA. The record is from RefSeq and is a predicted model, not a curated record. NCBI's taxonomy places the organism in Eukaryota, Metazoa, Chordata, Lepidosauria, Squamata, Lacertidae.
GAUACGUGGGGUUCUAAAAGAAAAAUAUGUGUGGCGUUGCCCUAGCAACCAGACUUUAAUCAUGGUCCGAUGCCAAACUGAUGUGAUGAGAAAAGUCAUCUCGGGGGGUUAGUGGGGGAGGAAGGAUGUAUUUGUCUCUGUAGCUUCUGAUGCCUGGAAUGUGAAGCUUAGGCAGAAUUCUAGCCUUUUUGGAGCAACCACCUUGUAGCCUCCGGGGUGUUUUGCUAACCAAGGCAGGGUGAGCUGCCCCAACGCUCUGGCUCCCCUGCCUCGCCGUGAGUCACGCCGGCCCGUCUGCUUUGUUGCGUCUGCAGAAAAUGUGUUGGGAUUUGCUCCGAUGAGGUUCACUUGCUGCUUGAAGCUUCCUCCAGUCUUUUUGAAGGUGGCUACUCAAUGCUCUUAAAAUGGGUCAGUGCUUUAUCUGAAACUGAACGGUGACACUAGUGAAACGCCAAUGGAUCAUGCCUGGACGCAGGGCUGGAUGCUACGAGGAGCAGCUGGCGGUCUUGAAGAUCAUAUUGGAAAGCAGCUUCUCUUCUCCCCGUAUAUAUAUAUAUAUACCUCUCCUUAAUCAUGUUGCUUAUAUCACCCUGUUGGUAAUAAUAUGCUCGUGCUUAUAAUGUGGGACUUACUUUUCCUUAUCUUUCCCUCUCUCCUUUUUUUUAAUUCAAAAGCAAGUAUGCCAUCUUAUAUGCAGUAGGCUUUGAGAGUAGGUUGAUGAACCAUGUUUCGUUUUGUUUAGCUAGGCUAACAUGAUACCUUUUUUUGUGUGUGUGUGGCAAACUUUCUUACUAAAAGACGCGGUGACCUGUUUACCAUAAAUGUCUUCAGUCUCCUAACUACAUUUUGUUUAGGCUUUGUGUAACCAUUGUGUAACUUGUUGCUAGUUUUACAACAGCCCCGUCCGCACCGUAUGUUUAAAGCAGUACCACCCCACUUUUAAACCGUCACGACUUCCCCCAAAGAAUGCUGGGACGUGUAGUUUGUUAAGGAUGCUGAGAAUAGGAGUCUCCUAAUAACUCUCGGUCCCCUUAACAAACCGCAGUUCCCAGGAUUCUUUGAGGGAACUCAUGACUGCUUAAAAUGGAAUGAUGCUACUUUAAGUGCAUAUGGGACCAACAUUCUUCUCUCGCUAAAAAAAAAGUCUGUCUCUGUAAGCCAGUCUUUGCCAACCUAACACCCUCCAGAUGUGUUGGCGUACGGUUUCCACCAGCCCGAGCCAAUGGGUUAGUGGGAAUUGUAGUGCAAAACAUCUGGAAGGUGCCAGGUCAGUGAAGGCUGUGUUGUCACCUGUGCUUUGGCUCUCUGGGGUAGAAUUCCCCUUGGUGCUUCCUGGUUUUUUAUUAUUAUUCUUAUAAAAAUACAAAUAAACGGUACAGAACACUAAAGUGAUGGGGGAGGAUGAGCCAUCCUUUUACCCGCGAUGCCUUAAAAUCAUGCAAAUGUCUUAACAUGCCAAAUAUUCUCAGAGGCCUCCUAGAAGAUCCGCCUUGAAUUUUUCAGGUACUAAUUAGCAACCUUUUCUAUCGGAACAGGUUUUGUUUUUCCUCGGUUGAAAGAACAACGGUAUUUUCACAAUUAUUUUAUAUUGUAUCAUGACACUAAAUGUCCCUUUGCAGUUUUGUAAUAAAUUGAACAGACACGA